Molecule: long non-coding RNA, 1166 nt
Filed under: Papio anubis (olive baboon)
Lineage: Eukaryota; Metazoa; Chordata; Mammalia; Primates; Cercopithecidae
Description: lncRNA (ENSPANG00000051044.1)
Source: RNAcentral
UGACCUCGUGAUCCACCUGCCUCGGCCUCCCAAAGUGCUGGGAUUACAGGUGUGACCCACCAUGCCAGGCCACAAAAUAGGUUUAAUAGUAUCAGCAAAAAAUUAUUUUUAUAAAUUAUAGAGUUUCUGCAAUGAAAAACAAAAGACAUAGAAAAUAGAAAUUCGUGUUUAUUCAACUGUUUUUCAUUUUCAGGUAUAUCAUUAUAUAACAGUCAUUUGAACUCAUUUUCCUGUAGUUUUCCAAAUGCAAGAUGACAUAUGAGGUAAAAGCAGUAGGAGGAAGACAUAAAACGAGAGUGGAAAUAUGUGGUACAUCCUACAUAGCCUACAUCCCUAUGCUAAGGCUGAACAUUAAGUAUACCUGGACACAAAGAAGAGAACAAUAGACAUUGGGAUCUACUUGAAGGUGGAGGAUGGGAGCAGGAUGAACUUUGAAAAGCUGCCUCCUGAAUAUUGUGCUCAUUACCUGUGUGAUGAAAUAAUCUGUACACAAAAUCCCUAUGAAAUGUAAUUUAUCCAUGUAACAAACCUGCAUAUGAACUGAAAAUGAAAAUAAAAGGAAAAAAAAACAAACAAAGGAAAAAGCUGGUGGUGUAUCUAGAUCAACUAGACUCUAAGGAGCGAUUUGUGUUCUCAGUCUUGGCAGAGCUAUUUAUUAAGGGAUGAUACAAGUAUGAACGAUGAGACUCUAAGCUAUAUAAAGAUGUAAUACAAUUUUAAAAACUUCUUCAAUUUUUCAUGCAAAACAAAUCUAAUUUUUUUCUAUGACAGUAGAUAAUAUGGUAAAGUCACAAUGAAGACAGUUCUGUGGGGUUAGUCAUCAUAUUUGUAUUGAUUUUAUAGAACAAUAUCUGGACUCAAAAUUUUAUCAAUUACAAUAUCUGCAAGCAUAUAAACUUAAAGAACACAUACAAGGCGUAUUUUAAUUACAUAUUCUGAUUGCAUCUAGCUCUUCAGGUAGAAUGAAAGUCCAAAGAGAUGAUAUGUUAUGAAUAGCCUUCACAAGAUUUUAGACAUGAGUGGGACUUCAUGUUGGCUUUUGGAAUUUCUAGAUGCCUAGAAACUGGUUUAACCUACUGCAUGCAAAAAUGAUCAAAAACACUUAGUACUUGUCUUUCUGGUUUAGAAUUUCUGAUAUUGAUAUGAUAGAGAUAGAAAAGAAAUAU